Molecule: ribosomal RNA, 660 nt
Filed under: Peptostreptococcus sp.
Lineage: Bacteria; Bacillati; Bacillota; Clostridia; Peptostreptococcales; Peptostreptococcaceae
Description: partial 23S ribosomal RNA
Rfam family: Bacterial large subunit ribosomal RNA
Source: RNAcentral
GUACGUGAUAACUGUCGAGAUAGAAGAACAAGCUGGGAAGCUUGACCAUAGUGGGUGAUAGUCCCGUAUUCGAAAUCUCAACAGUGGUACUAAGCGUACGAAAAGUAGGGCGGGACACGUGAAAUCCUGUCUGAAUAUGGGGGGACCAUCCUCCAAGGCUAAAUACUCAUCAUCGACCGAUAGUGAACCAGUACCGUGAGGGAAAGGCGAAAAGAACCCCGGGAGGGGAGUGAAAUAGAACCUGAAACCUGAUGCAUACAAACAGUGGGAGCACCCUUGUGGUGUGACUGCGUACCUUUUGUAUAAUGGGUCAACGACUUACAUUCAGUAGCGAGCUUAACCGAAUAGGGGAGGCGUAGGGAAACCGAGUCUUAAUAGGGCGAACAGUUGCUGGGUGUAGACCCGAAACCGAGUGAUCUAUCCAUGGCCAGGUUGAAGGUGCCGUAACAGGUACUGGAGGACCGAACCCACGCAUGUUGCAAAAUGCGGGGAUGAGCUGUGGAUAGGGGUGAAAGGCUAAACAAACUCGGAGAUAGCUGGUUCUCCCCGAAAACUAUUUAGGUAGUGCCUCGAGCAAGACACUGAUGGGGGUAAAGCACUGUUAUGGCUAGGGGGUUAUUGCAACUUACCAACCCAUGGCAAACUAAGAAUACCAUCAAG